GUGAGCUGUAGGGUGGAACUGGCCAGCACCAGAUGCUUCCUCCAUCAGCCCAGAGCUGCUGCAGUCACAGGGCUCCUGCACAGGCAGCAGCAGCACACAUACACUUCCCCUUAAGAGAACAGUUUUAUGCGAAGCUGAGAGUGCUCAGAACUACAAAGCUCACCUGAGCAUCCAGUUUCUGUUCUCCAGAAGCCAAAUGCUGCCACUUAGCUCACAAGGACACGGACAAAGAUUCAGGCAAAAGAUGAAGAAACAUGGAGCUCUCCAGCCUGAGCAGAUAUUGUGUGGAAAAAGUGAAUUUCCUGAGCAAUGGAAAUGUCUUAAUGCCUAA
RNAcentral lists this long non-coding RNA (331 nucleotides) under Taeniopygia guttata (zebra finch). Its description in RNAcentral is "lncRNA (ENSTGUG00000020959.1)". Lineage: Eukaryota; Metazoa; Chordata; Aves; Passeriformes; Estrildidae. The record is from RNAcentral.